This 459-nucleotide ribosomal RNA is filed under the name uncultured bacterium. RNAcentral describes it as "partial 16S ribosomal RNA". It matches the Rfam family "Bacterial small subunit ribosomal RNA", at positions 355 to 803 of the family's 1533-position model. The record is from RNAcentral.
UGGGGAAUAUUGCACAAUGGGCGCAAGCCUGAUGCAGCCAUGCCGCGUGUGUGAAGAAGGCCUUCGGGUUGUAAAGCACUUUCAGCGAGGAGGAAGGUGGUGAGCUUAAUACGCUCAUCAAUUGACGUUACUCGCAGAAGAAGCACCGGCUAACUCCGUGCCAGCAGCCGCGGUAAUACGGAGGGUGCAAGCGUUAAUCGGAAUUACUGGGCGUAAAGCGCACGCAGGCGGUUUGUUAAGUCAGAUGUGAAAAUCCCCGGGCUCAACCUGGGAACUGCAUUUGAAACUGGCAAGCUAGAGUCUCGUAGAGGGGGGCUAGAAUUCCAGGUGUAGCGGUGAAAUGCGUAGAGAUCUGGAGGAAUACCGGUGGCGAAGGCGGCCCCCUGGACGAAGACUGACGCUCAGGUGCGAAAGCGUGGGGCAGCAAACAGGAUUAGAUACCCUGGUAGUCCACGCUGU